GGCUUGGUAACUCAGUUGGUAGAGCAGAGGACCAAAAAGCCUCGUGUCGGGGGUUCAAUUCCCUUCCCAGCCACCU
This 76-nucleotide transfer RNA is filed under the name Verrucomicrobiota bacterium. RNAcentral's name for it is "Verrucomicrobia bacterium tRNA-Phe". It matches the Rfam family "tRNA". From Rfam's summary of the family: Transfer RNA (tRNA) molecules are approximately 80 nucleotides in length. Their secondary structure includes four short double-helical elements and three loops (D, anti-codon, and T loops). Further hydrogen bonds mediate the characteristic L-shaped molecular structure. tRNAs have two regions of fundamental functional importance: the anti-codon, which is responsible for specific mRNA codon recognition, and the 3' end, to which the tRNAs corresponding amino acid is attached (by aminoacyl-tRNA synthetases). tRNAs cope with the degeneracy of the genetic code in two manners: having more than one tRNA (with a specific anti-codon) for a particular amino acid; and 'wobble' base-pairing, i.e. permitting non-standard base-pairing at the 3rd anti-codon position. The record is from RNAcentral. Lineage: Bacteria; Pseudomonadati; Verrucomicrobiota.